Molecule: unclassified non-coding RNA, 833 nt
Filed under: Hevea brasiliensis (rubber tree)
Lineage: Eukaryota; Viridiplantae; Streptophyta; Magnoliopsida; Malpighiales; Euphorbiaceae
Source: RNAcentral
AAUGCUGGGAAAAAGGAGGAAGAUCCUCUUAAGGACAUAAAGGAUCCAAAGCAAUUUUUAGUUGCUUCACUGGCUAAUCUUUCUGCUCAUUCCCCUGGAAAUUAUCCCCAGAUCAUUAGUGAAAACCUUGAGCCAGCAAAUCAAGCAGCAUUAUUGCAGCUUUGUACCACCUACAAUUGCCCAAUUGUCUGAAAUCUUGUAUGGGAAUUGAGGUCUGUUUUGUGGUCAAUUCAACAAGUAUUUUUCAACAGGCUAUAGCGAGCAGAUGGCAUCUUUUACUUUAUGGUUUGUGGGUUUAGGCAGUUCAUCAUCUGUUAUGCAACAUCCCAAGGUCCUAUGCAGUAACAAUAUGGAGUUUUACAGCGUCGUGGAGUUUUACAUUGCUUAAGAGUGGAUAAUUGAUCCACAAUGGGCUUUUAUUGGAUUUUGCUGUAACAAAUCACUGCCCUUGCUUUGGAGCGAAGAGCUUCUCAAUGUUCUGGUCAUUUGAGUCGUCAUGUUCAGUGUGUUAUCAUACCAUGAAUUGUUGUUGGGUGAUUGAGUUCAUGUAAAGAGGAGGAAAACGAGUUCCUGGAGGGAAUCGGUUCAUUUACUGUGUAGUUGAAUUUUGGUUUAUCUGUUGAAAGUUUUGGCAGUUAUUUGCAUGCUAUUGUAGUAGAUCUCAUCUUAGCAUUUGAAUUUUAGUGGAAGAUGAUAUUGAGAAAGAACUAUCAUAUGCUGCGGAAAGAGUUCUUACUUAAGAUCCCCCGAGAACCAAGUGUUUAGACGUGAUUGGCCUUUGCAUCAGAUGAAACACUAUAAUGUAAUUGCUAAAGCUUUACUUGAGUUUUGAG